UGAUCAACUAUUGAAGAGGUUGAUGAACUCAAGACCACCAUGGCAAAAUUAGAAAGAGAAAAUGAAGAGUUGAAGUUAAAACUCCAACAAGUCAUCAAUGAGAAAAACACCAUGAAGUGGGAACUUGAGAGAAACGAUAUACAACUUCAGGCAAAUAUGGAAAAGUUUAACAAAGAGGAGCAUAAGAGGAAAAAGAUCAAAGUGGGACUAGAAC
Molecule: long non-coding RNA, 214 nt
Filed under: Lathyrus oleraceus (garden pea)
Lineage: Eukaryota; Viridiplantae; Streptophyta; Magnoliopsida; Fabales; Fabaceae
Description: Pisum sativum (pea) long non-coding RNA (PSAT_LNC005598)
Source: RNAcentral